UGGGGAAUUUUGGACAAUGGGCGCAAGCCUGAUCCAGCCAUGCCGCGUGCGGGAAGAAGGCCUUCGGGUUGUAAACCGCUUUUGUCAGGGAAGAAAUCUUCUGAGUUAAUACCUCGGGAGGAUGACGGUACCUGAAGAAUAAGCACCGGCUAACUACGUGCCAGCAGCCGCGGUAAUACGUAGGGUGCAAGCGUUAAUCGGAAUUACUGGGCGUAAAGCGUGCGCAGGCGGUUUUGUAAGACAGAGGUGAAAUCCCCGGGCUCAACCUGGGAACUGCCUUUGUGACUGCAAGGCUUGAGUGCGGCAGAGGGGGGAUGGAAUUCCGCGUGUAGCAGUGAAAUGCGUAGAUAUGCGGAGGAACACCGAUGGCGAAGGCAAUCCCCUGGGCCUGCACUGACGCUCAUGCACGAAAGCGUGGGGAGCAAACAGGAUUAGAUAGCCCCUGGUAGUCCACGCCCUAAAACGAUGUCAACUGGUUGUUGGGAAGGUUCCUUCUCAGUAACGUAGCUAACGCGUGAAGUUGACCGCCUGGGGAGUACGGCCGCAAGGUUGAAACUCAAAUGAAUUGAC
This 570-nucleotide ribosomal RNA is filed under the name uncultured bacterium. Its description in RNAcentral is "partial 16S ribosomal RNA". It matches the Rfam family "Bacterial small subunit ribosomal RNA", at positions 355 to 914 of the family's 1533-position model. The record is from RNAcentral.